This 497-nucleotide ribosomal RNA is filed under the name uncultured bacterium. RNAcentral's name for it is "partial 16S ribosomal RNA". It matches the Rfam family "Bacterial small subunit ribosomal RNA", at positions 28 to 507 of the family's 1533-position model. The record is from RNAcentral.
GAUGAACGCUGGCGGCGUGCCUAAUACAUGCAAGUCGAGCGAACGGACGAGAAGCUUGCUUCUCUGAUGUUAGCGGCGGACGGGUGAGUAACACGUGGAUAACCUACCUAUAAGACUGGGAUAACUUCGGGAAACCGGAGCUAAUACCGGAUAAUAUUUUGAACCGCAUGGUUCAAAAGUGAAAGACGGUCUUGCUGUCACUUAUAGAUGGAUCCGCGCUGCAUUAGCUAGUUGGUAAGGUAACGGCUUACCAAGGCAACGAUGCAUAGCCGACCUGAGAGGGUGGAGACCCAGACUGGAGCGGAGGCACGGUCCAGACUCCAGGGAGGGGCAGAGGAGGGGAAUCUUCCGCAAGGGGAGAAGGCCGAAGGGGGCAACGCCGCGGGAGUGAUAAAGAUCUUCGGAUGUUAAAACUAUGUAGUUGGGAAAAAAGAUAAGUGAAUUUAUCUGUGCCCAUCUUGACGGUACCAAGAAAAAAAGCACCGGCUAACUACGUG